Molecule: ribosomal RNA, 147 nt
Filed under: uncultured Acinetobacter sp.
Lineage: Bacteria; Pseudomonadati; Pseudomonadota; Gammaproteobacteria; Moraxellales; Moraxellaceae
Description: partial 16S ribosomal RNA
Rfam family: Bacterial small subunit ribosomal RNA
Source: RNAcentral
ACUCCUACGGGAGGCAGCAGUGGGGAAUAUUGGACAAUGGGCGGAAGCUUGAUCCAGCCAUGCCGCGUGUGUGAAGAAGGCCUUUUGGUUGUAAAGCACUUUAAGCGAGGAGGAGGCGCUGUAGGAUAAUACCCUAGAUGCGUGGAC